RNAcentral lists this long non-coding RNA (203 nucleotides) under Gossypium barbadense (sea-island cotton). RNAcentral's name for it is "long non-coding RNA (GBAR_LNC002588)". The record is from RNAcentral. Lineage: Eukaryota; Viridiplantae; Streptophyta; Magnoliopsida; Malvales; Malvaceae.
UGAGUUGCUUAUUGUUUUCUUAUAAGCUUACUAUGAUCUGUAGGUGUGGUUGGCCGAAUAUUGUAAGGGGUUAAUACGUAGUUCGUAUUUGAAUAGUUAGAUUAAUGUGUUAGUAAUCCAAUUGUAGGCGGUUCGUGUGUGGAUCUCGUCAGCAUAUCGUCGCAAACAGGUGUGUAACUAACACCCUCUUUCUUAGUCUGGAU